GCCGGUGUGGCUCAGUGGUAGAGCAACUGUUUCGUAAACAGUGGGUCGUGAGUUCGAUUCUCACCACCGGCU
Non-coding RNA from Candidatus Curtissbacteria bacterium, 72 nucleotides. NCBI's taxonomy places the organism in Bacteria, Candidatus Curtissiibacteriota. The record is from Rfam.